AACAGAGCCCCCAAGCGUUAUCCGGAUUUAUUGGGCGUAAAGGGUCCGUAGCCGGUCUGGCAAGUCUUGGGUUAAAUACCACAGGCUCAACCUGAGGAAUGCCCAAGAAACUGCCAAACUAGAGGACGUCAGAGGCUGAUGGAACGCACGGUGGAGGGGUGAAAUCCGUCGAUAUCGUGCGGAACACCAAAAGCGAAGGCAUUCAGCUGGGGCGAUCCUGACGGUGAAGGACGAAAGCGUGGGGCGCAAAGAGG
Molecule: unclassified non-coding RNA, 254 nt
Filed under: uncultured Parcubacteria group bacterium
Lineage: Bacteria
Description: contains 16S-23S intergenic spacer region
Rfam family: Bacterial small subunit ribosomal RNA
Source: RNAcentral